Molecule: ribosomal RNA, 790 nt
Filed under: Hydea pygmea
Lineage: Eukaryota; Fungi; Ascomycota; Sordariomycetes; Lulworthiales; Lulworthiaceae
Description: LSU rRNA
Rfam family: Eukaryotic large subunit ribosomal RNA
Source: RNAcentral
UCGCCUCCCGCGGAUCAUCCGGUGUUCUUCGCCGGUGCACUUCGCUGGGGGGCGGGCCAGCAUCGGCUCGCGCCGGGGGAUAAAAGCUUGGGGAACGUAGCUCCCUCCGGGGAGUGUUACAGCCCCUCGCCUAAUGUCCCGGGGCGGGCCGAGGACUGCGCCCUUACGGGCAAGGAUGCUGGCGUAAUGGCCGCCGGCGGCCCGUCUUGAAACACGGACCAAGGAGUCGAACAUCCGCGCGAGUGUUUGGGUUGAAAACCCUCACGCGUAAUGAAAGUGAACGGAGGUGGGAGCCUCGGCGCACCAUCGACCGAUCCUGAUGUCUUCGGAUGGAUUUGAGUAGGAGCGCGGCUGUUCGGACCCGAAAGAUGGUGAACUAUGCCUGUGUAGGGUGAAGCCAGAGGAAACUCUGGUGGAGGCUCGCAGCGGUUCUGACGUGCAAAUCGAUCGUCAAACAUGGGCAUGGGGGCGAAAGACUAAUCGAACCAUCUAGUAGCUGGUUUCCGCCGAAGUUUCCCUCAGGAUAGCAGUGCUGGUCUCAGUUUUAUGAGGUAAAGCGAAUGAUUAGGGACCCGGGGGCGCUAUUAAGCCUUCAUCCAUUCUCAAACUUUAAAUAUGUAAGAAGCCCUUGUCACUUAGCUGGACGCGGGCGCUCGAAUGCAGCAGCACUAGUGGGCCAUUUUUGGUAAGCAGAACUGGCGAUGCGGGAUGAACCGAACGCGGGGUUAAGGUGCCAGAGUGGACGCUCAUCAGACACCACAAAAGGCGUUAGUACAUCUUGACAGCAGGA